AGCGAACGCUGGCGGCAGGCCUAACACAUGCAAGUCGAACGAACCUUUCGGGGUUAGUGGCGGACGGGUGAGUAACACGUGGGAACGUGCCUUUAGGUUCGGAAUAACUCAGGGAAACUUGUGCUAAUACCGAAUGUGCCCUUCGGGGGAAAGAUUUAUCGCCUUUAGAGCGGCCCGCGUCUGAUUAGCUAGUUGGUUGAGGUAAUGGCUCACCAAGGCGACGAUCAGUAGCUGGUCUGAGAGGAUGAUCAGCCACAUUGGGACUGAGACACGGCCCAAACUCCUACGGGAGGCAGCAGUGGGGAAUCUUGCGCAAUGGGCGAAAGCCUGACGCAGCCAUGCCGCGUGAAUGAUGAAGGUCUUAGGAUCGUAAAAUUCUUUCACCGGGGACGAUAAUGACGGUACCCGGAGAAGAAGCCCCGGCUAACUUCGUG
Molecule: ribosomal RNA, 434 nt
Filed under: uncultured bacterium
Lineage: Bacteria
Description: partial 16S ribosomal RNA
Rfam family: Bacterial small subunit ribosomal RNA
Source: RNAcentral